AUGGACGCAAGUCUGAUGGAGCAACGCCGGGUGAGUGAAGAAGGGUUUCGGCUCGUAAAGCUCUGUUGGUAGUGAAGAAAGAUAGAGGUAGUAACUGGCCUUUAUUUGACGGUAAUUACUUAGAAAGUCACGGCUAACUACGUGCCAGCAGCCGCGGUAAUACGUAGGUGGCAAGCGUUGUCCGGAUUUAUUGGGCGUAAAGCGAGUGCAGGCGGUUCAAUAAGUCUGAUGUGAAAGCCUUCGGCUCAACCGGAGAAUUGCAUCAGAAACUGUUGAACUUGAGUGCAGAAGAGGAGAGUGGAACUCCAUGUGUAGCGGUGGAAUGCGUAGAUAUAUGGAAGAACACCAGUGGCGAAGGCGGCUCUCUGGUCUGCAACUGACGCUGAGGCUCGAAAGCAUGGGUAGCGAACAGGAUUAGAUACCCUGGUAGUCCAUGCCGUAAACGAUGAGUGCUAAGUGUUGGGAGGUUUCCGCCUCUCAGUGCUGCAGCUAACGCAUUAAGCACUCCGCCUGGGGAGUACGACCGCAAGGUUGAAACUCAAAGGAAUUGACGGGGGCCCGCACAAACGGUGGAGCAUGUGGUUUAAUUCGAAGCAACGCGAAGAACCUUACCAGGUCU
This 619-nucleotide ribosomal RNA is filed under the name Lactobacillus gasseri. Its description in RNAcentral is "bacterial SSU rRNA". It matches the Rfam family "Bacterial small subunit ribosomal RNA", at positions 371 to 981 of the family's 1533-position model. The record is from RNAcentral. Lineage: Bacteria; Bacillati; Bacillota; Bacilli; Lactobacillales; Lactobacillaceae.